AUAUAUUAGGGAUGCAUCGAUGCCUAAUCUUGGCAGAUUCCAAUUGGUACAGGGCGAUGAAUUGACAUUAGCCCUUUUUUUAUAAAUAGAUUCGAUUAAGCGCUGUUAUGCAAAAGCAAUUGACAAAGAAAUUAGGACAUAUUAGUCUUCUGCUUGAUGUAUGCACCUUACUGUUUGAAAUAGAGGUAAACGAAAAUAUUACAACCAAAAAAAAAAAGAAGAUGAAAAAGUUAAUAAAAGAAGGUGAUAAAGAUAAUCAAAAUGAUGAUGACUGUGAAGUAGAUUAUGAUGUUUGAGUCUAAUGAGAGUGAAGGAAGUUGCGACAAUGAAAAUUAAAUUACCUCUUUGCGCUCACUGGUAAAAGUUUUUAAAAAAUACAUUUUAGUAAGUU
Hydra vulgaris (swiftwater hydra) is the source of this 391-nucleotide non-coding RNA. NCBI's taxonomy places the organism in Eukaryota, Metazoa, Cnidaria, Hydrozoa, Anthoathecata, Hydridae. The record is from RefSeq and is a predicted model, not a curated record.